This 253-nucleotide ribosomal RNA is filed under the name uncultured bacterium. Its description in RNAcentral is "partial 16S ribosomal RNA". It matches the Rfam family "Bacterial small subunit ribosomal RNA", at positions 524 to 776 of the family's 1533-position model. The record is from RNAcentral.
UACGUAGGGGGCAAGCGUUGUCCGGAAUCAUUGGGCGUAAAGCGCGUGUAGGCGGCCCGGUAAGUCCGCUGUGAAAGUCCAGGGCUCAACCCUGGAAUGCCGGUGGAUACUGUCGGGCUCGAGUCCGGAAGAGGCGAGUGGAAUUCCUGGUGUAGCGGUGAAAUGCGCAGAUAUCAGGAGGAACACCAAUGGCGAAGGCAGCUCGCUGGGACGGUACUGACGCUGAGGAGCGAAAGCGUGGGGAGCGAACAGG